RNAcentral lists this signal recognition particle RNA (299 nucleotides) under Aotus nancymaae (Ma's night monkey). RNAcentral describes it as "Metazoan signal recognition particle RNA (ENSANAG00000011128.1)". It matches the Rfam family "Metazoan signal recognition particle RNA". From Rfam's summary of the family: The signal recognition particle (SRP) is a universally conserved ribonucleoprotein. It is involved in the co-translational targeting of proteins to membranes. The record is from RNAcentral. Lineage: Eukaryota; Metazoa; Chordata; Mammalia; Primates; Aotidae.
GCUGGGUGCAGUGGCGCGUGCCUGUAGUCCCAGCUACUUGGGAGGCUGAGGUGGGAGGAUCGCUUGAGCCCAGGAGUCCUGGGCUGUAGUGCGCUAUGCCAAUCAGGUGUCCACACUAAGUUCGGCAUCAAUAUGGUGACCUCCUGCGAGCGGGGGACUACCAGGUUGCCUAAGGAGGGGUGAACCGACUGAGGUCGGAAAUGGAGCAGGUCAAAACUCUCUUGCUGAUCAGUAGUGGGAUCGCGCCUGUGAAUAGCCACUGCACUCCAGCCUGGGCAACAUAGCGAGACCCCGUUUCU